Molecule: long non-coding RNA, 214 nt
Filed under: Lathyrus oleraceus (garden pea)
Lineage: Eukaryota; Viridiplantae; Streptophyta; Magnoliopsida; Fabales; Fabaceae
Description: Pisum sativum (pea) long non-coding RNA (PSAT_LNC032170)
Source: RNAcentral
ACUGGUUUUGUAAAGAUGAGUUAGACUCAACUCAAAACCUACUAAUAGAAAUUAGUAACAUACCAAUAAUUACUUUAUUCACCUGAAAAUUACAAGAAACAUAAAGGAUGAUUGGAAGGCUGUGGUGGUAUGUUAAAAAUUUGUCCUGACACCAGUAAUAUAAAUAAAAAAUGAGGGUUGCUGUAAACUGUAUGUGCAUUCCUAGGUUUCAAAC